Long non-coding RNA from Vitis riparia (riverbank grape), 425 nucleotides. RefSeq lists it as uncharacterized. Lineage: Eukaryota; Viridiplantae; Streptophyta; Magnoliopsida; Vitales; Vitaceae. The record is from RefSeq and is a predicted model, not a curated record. The transcript is spliced from 2 exons.
CCCCACCCCCCAUCGGUCAUCCCUUCCGGUGGUAGUGAGGGAUGGAUCCCAAGAGGAGAAAGACACAAGACUCCGCAUAGAAUGCUGAUUCCAGUGCUGCGGAUUCUGGGAAUUCUGGUGUGGCAGAGUCGAAAGCCACUGAUUCGAAGGCCAAGCCUGUGGAACUCAAUGCGAAAGCCAAAAAGAGUAAUUUCGUCUCCUGAAAUGGCGCUCUUCUCCAAUAUACCCCAAAGCAAUGGAAAAAGGCAAAAGCACUCUGAAAGUUUUCAUAAGCAGCAGCUUGAGCAAAGGCGUGGUAGUCGGCCGGUGCAGAUCAUGUAUGUAUUUUGAUCAUAAACAGUUAGAUCCAUGUGGUGUAGUAAUGCUAGGGGACCAUCACAAGUGAUGAUGACUAAUAAAUAUUUCAAAAUGAUCCAUUUGAUUGA